RNAcentral lists this ribosomal RNA (514 nucleotides) under uncultured bacterium. Its description in RNAcentral is "partial 16S ribosomal RNA". It matches the Rfam family "Bacterial small subunit ribosomal RNA", at positions 28 to 523 of the family's 1533-position model. The record is from RNAcentral.
GAUGAACGCUGGCGGCGUGCCUAAUACAUGCAAGUCGAGCGAACUUUUGGGAGCUUGCUCCCAAAAGUUAGCGGCGGACGGGUGAGUAACACGUGGGCAACCUGCCUAUAAGACUGGGAUAACUUCGGGAAACCGGAGCUAAUACCGGAUAACAUAUGAUACCACAUGGUCUCAUAUUAAAAGAUGGCUUUUAGCUAUCACUUAUAGAUGGGCCCGGGGCGCAUUAGCUAGUUGGUGAGGUAAUGGCUAACGAAGGCGACGAUGCGUAGCCGACCUGAGAGGGUGAUCGGCCACACUGGGAUUGAGACACGGCCCAGACUCCUACGGGAGGCAGCAGUAGGGAAUCUUCCGCAAUGGACGAAAGUCUGACGGAGCAACGCCGCGUGAGCGAAGAAGGUCUUCGGAUCGUAAAGCUCUGUUGUUAGGGAAGAACAAGUACCGUUCAAAUAGGGCGGUACCUUGACGGUACCUAACCAGAAAGCCACGGCUAACUACGUGCCAGCAGCCGCGGUAA